Molecule: ribosomal RNA, 283 nt
Filed under: Acanthamoeba sp.
Lineage: Eukaryota; Discosea; Longamoebia; Acanthamoebidae
Description: partial 18S ribosomal RNA
Source: RNAcentral
GUCAGAGGUGAAAUUCUUGGAUUUAUGAAAGAUUAACUUCUGCGAAAGCAUCUGCCAAGGAUGUUUAAUUAAUCAAGAACGAACGUUCAGGGAUUAAAUAUCAUUCCCCCCCGCUUUCUCUUUUACCUUAACCCAUGCCCCCCCCCUUCUAAACACUUUAAAACAGGGGGCAGGGUCCCUUCUCUCUUUCCAGGUUAUGGUUUCGCGGUCGGGCGGGGAAAAUGUGAUUUUUUCCUGCCUUUAAAACCCCUAUUUUCUCCGUAAAACUUUUGAAAAAAUUCAU